This 460-nucleotide ribosomal RNA is filed under the name uncultured bacterium. Its description in RNAcentral is "partial 16S ribosomal RNA". It matches the Rfam family "Bacterial small subunit ribosomal RNA", at positions 338 to 795 of the family's 1533-position model. The record is from RNAcentral.
CCUACGGGUGGCAGCAGUGAGGAAUAUUGGUCAAUGGGCGCUAGCCUGAACCAGCCAAGUAGCGUGAAGGAUGACUGCCCUAUGGGUUGUAAACUUCUUUUAUAUGGGAAUAAAGUGCAGUAUGUAUACUGCUUUGCAUGUACCUUAUGAAUAAGGAUCGGCUAACUCCGUGCCAGCCGCCGCGGUAAUACGGAGGAUCCGUGCGUUAUCCGGAUUUAUUGGGUUUAAAGGGAGCGUAGGCGGGUUGUUAAGUCAGUUGUGAAAGUUUGCGGCUCAACCGUAAAAUUGCAGUUGAUACUGGCAGCCUUGAGUACAGUAGAGGUAGGCGGAAUUCGGGGUGUAGCGGUGAAAUGCUUAGAUAUCACGAAGAACUCCGAUUGCGAAGGCAGCCUGCUGGACUGUAACUGACGCUGAGGCUCGAAAGUGUGGGUAUCAAACAGGAUUAGAUACCCCAGUAGUC